UGCAUCUGAAGCCUGACGAGGAUGAGAACCUCCGGGGGCAAGAGGUUCGACUCGAGCGCAGCGAGAGAACGUUGCGUCAGCAACGGCCCGCAGGGCGAG
Molecule: small RNA, 99 nt
Filed under: Salmonella enterica
Lineage: Bacteria; Pseudomonadati; Pseudomonadota; Gammaproteobacteria; Enterobacterales; Enterobacteriaceae
Also listed under: 2 other names
Description: partial RtT sRNA
Rfam family: RtT RNA
About the family: This family represents a bacterial cis-regulatory element known as RtT RNA. The exact function of RtT is unknown although it is thought that it may be involved in changing the cellular response in relation to amino acid starvation.
Source: RNAcentral